Long non-coding RNA from Oncorhynchus tshawytscha (Chinook salmon), 652 nucleotides. NCBI's taxonomy places the organism in Eukaryota, Metazoa, Chordata, Actinopteri, Salmoniformes, Salmonidae. The record is from Ensembl.
CACGUUCACCAAUGCAACGCAGAAUGGGCUCAUCCUUAUCAACAAAGGAUUUAUUUUUCGGACCAAAAUCAUACCAAGAAAAUGGAUCACAUAACCUUAAUCCAUUUCACUGCUCUUGAAAUUUCCAGAUUGCUGAUUCAACAUAUCUCUCCGUCUUUAAAGUUUGUUUACAUUUCGUUGGAAAAAAACACAAGAGGAUCACAGAAAUGUAGCGGCCGAAGAAAGAGUUCAAAUAAAUCCAAGCCCCGGCGGUCAGCUACUUGGAGAGCGAGAUCUCCAUCUUUGGCUCGGCAAUGACCCAAAACACACAUCCAGGCUGUUUAAGGGCUAUUUGAUCAAGGGGAGUGAUGGAGUGCUGCAUCAGAUGACAUGGCCUCCACAAUCACCCAACCUCAAUCCAAUUGGGAUGGUUUGGGAUGAGUUGGACGGCAGAGUGAAGGAAAAUCAGCCAGCAAUUGCUCAGCAUAUGUGGGAACUCCUUCGAGAUGUUUGGAAAAGCACUCCUCAUGAAGCUGGUUGAGAGAAUUCCAAGAGUGUGUGAAGCUGUCAUCAAGCAAAGGGUGGCUACUUUGAAGAAUAUAAUUUGUUUAACACUUUUUUGGUUACUACAUGAUUCCAAUUGUGUUAUUUCAUAGUUUUGAUGCCUUCACCA